UCUGAGGGCUUCGCUGCUGCCGAGCUGACGGGCUCGGCGCCGUGUCAGCGGGAAGGAGCUGCACCCCGCCCCCAACCUGCAGGCCUCGGCCCCUCGGUUCCAGGCCCUCAGUGGAGGGGCCUGUGGCUUUUCCAGAAGGGGGUCCUCGGGCCUUCCUGCCGGGGACCCUGCAGCUUUUUGGUUGGGGAACUCCAGGAAUGGGGUCUCGGGCCCCAUGGCCGUGGGCUCCAGUACCCUCACAGAAGCCCAGGGAGCUGAGAGAGAAAAGCAGGGCCGGAGGGCAGUUAAAGGGCUGAAAACAUUCCACUCAGGACCGUUGACAUAGGGCACAAGAGACCUCAGUGUGGGACCCAGCGGGCUCAGCCCCAAAUACCGUGUGGACUGAAAAAACAAUGCACGACCUAAAAGUUGAGCGUUAUGUUUUAUUCGGUGGACAAAACUGAGGACUUAAGCCCGGACACAGCAUCUCAGAUAACUCAGGGACUGUUCUGAAGAGCCUCCUGACUGCAGGUACCCAGGUAGACAACACUUGGACCAAAAGGACCUCCUGGGUAUCACAGCCUUGGAACGGGGAGAGGACGGAAAGCCAGCAUGCGGCUUUGAUAAACGUUUGCCCAAUUGGAUCGCAUUCAAGUUGUCUGACAGGUGUCCUAAUAAGAAGGGGAGAUGAGGACACAGACACACACGGAGGGACGACCACGUGAGGACACGGGAGAAGACGGCCAUCUGCAAGCCAAGGAGAGAGGCCUUAGGAGGAAUCACCCUGCCUACACCUGGAUCUUCAGCCUCCAGAGCUGAGAGGAAAUAAAUGUCUGCUGUUUA
Mesoplodon densirostris (Blainville's beaked whale) is the source of this 822-nucleotide long non-coding RNA. RefSeq lists it as uncharacterized. The record is from RefSeq and is a predicted model, not a curated record. NCBI's taxonomy places the organism in Eukaryota, Metazoa, Chordata, Mammalia, Artiodactyla, Ziphiidae. The transcript has 4 exons.